This 207-nucleotide long non-coding RNA is filed under the name Elaeis guineensis (African oil palm). RNAcentral's name for it is "long non-coding RNA (EGUI_LNC008912)". Lineage: Eukaryota; Viridiplantae; Streptophyta; Magnoliopsida; Arecales; Arecaceae. The record is from RNAcentral.
UCUCUCUCCCCCCUCGUGUCUGCAAAAAUCCCUUUUCUAAUCCUGCUAUUCUCUUUCUCUAGCAUCGACGCCGUCUCCAAAUCCCACCUCUCUCUUUCUCUCGCAUCAACAUCAUCUCCAAAUCCUCAGCUUCCUCGGGUCAACCUCCGCGUCUUGUUCGAUGGCUUCUGUCAUCUCUACGAUCUCUGCUUCGGAUGUGGGGGGGCC